GAUGAACGCUGGCGGCGUGCUUAACACAUGCAAGUCGAACGAAGACAUCUGAGUGCUUGCACUUGGAUGGACUGAGCGGCGGACGGGUGAGUAACGCGUGGGUAACCUGCCUUAUACAGGGGGAUAACAGUUGGAAACGACUGCUAAUACCGCAUAAGCGCACGGUAUCGCAUGAUACAGUGUGAAAACUCCGGUGGUAUAAGAUGGACCCGCGUCUGAUUAGCUUGUUGGUGAGGUAACGGCCCACCAAGGCGACGAUCAGUAGCCGGCCUGAGAGGGUGAACGGCCACAUUGGGACUGAGACACGGCCCAAACUCCUACGGGGAGGCAGCAGUGGGGAAUAUUGCACAAUGGGGGAAACCCUGAUGCAGCGACGCCGCGUGAGUGAUGAAGUAUUUCGGUAUGUAAAACUCUAUCAGCAGGGAAGAUAAUGACGGUACCUGACUAAGAAGCACCGGCUAAAUACGUG
This 469-nucleotide ribosomal RNA is filed under the name uncultured bacterium. RNAcentral describes it as "bacterial SSU rRNA". It matches the Rfam family "Bacterial small subunit ribosomal RNA", at positions 28 to 507 of the family's 1533-position model. The record is from RNAcentral.